This 497-nucleotide ribosomal RNA is filed under the name uncultured bacterium. Its description in RNAcentral is "partial 16S ribosomal RNA". It matches the Rfam family "Bacterial small subunit ribosomal RNA", at positions 28 to 507 of the family's 1533-position model. The record is from RNAcentral.
GAUGAACGCUGGCGGCGUGCCUAAUACAUGCAAGUCGAGCGAACAGACGAGGAGCUUGCUCCUCUGACGUUAGCGGCGGACGGGUGAGUAACACGUGGAUAACCUACCUAUAAGACUGGGAUAACUUCGGGAAACCGGAGCUAAUACCGGAUAAUAUAUUGAACCGCAUGGUUCAAUAGUAAAAUACGGUUUUGCUGUCACUUAUAGAUGGAUCCGCGCCGCAUUAGCUAGUUGGUAAGGUAACCGCCUACCAAGGCAACGAUGCGUAGCCGACCUGACAGGGGGAUAGGCCACCUUGGAACGGAGACACGGUCAAGAGUCCUACGGGAGGCAGCAGUCGGGAAUCUGCCGCAGUGGGCGAGAGCCUGACGGAGCAACGCCGCGUGAGUGAUGACGGUCUUCGGAGCGUAAAACUCUGUUAUGAGGGAAGAACAAAUGUGUAAGGAAAUAUGCACGUCUUGACGGUACCUAAUAAGAAAGCCACGGCUAACUACGUG